RNAcentral lists this transfer RNA (74 nucleotides) under Candidatus Woesearchaeota archaeon. Its description in RNAcentral is "tRNA-Ala". It matches the Rfam family "tRNA". From Rfam's summary of the family: Transfer RNA (tRNA) molecules are approximately 80 nucleotides in length. Their secondary structure includes four short double-helical elements and three loops (D, anti-codon, and T loops). Lineage: Archaea; Nanobdellati; Candidatus Woesearchaeota. The record is from RNAcentral.
GGGCUUGUAGCUCAACCUGGUAGAGCAUCGCCCUUGCAAGGCGGGGGCUGCGGGUUCAAAUCCCGCCGAGUCCA